CACAAACCCAUAAUUGAAGACAAUUUUUCUAUUUUCACUGUUAUGAUAAUUAAAGUAAACUGCAAGCAAAUGCUUAGAUGACACAUUUAACCCUCACCUAUUUCUUCUUCUUCUUCUUCUUCUUAUGAUGAAAUAUUUUAUUGACAUAAAAGUGAGCCAAAGUAACUUCCAUUUCUGCCUUUACUCAAAUGCAAAUGAGCUGUGUCUGGAAUGUGCUUUGCAGUUUACAGAUCUGCAGAACCAGCCCAGCUGUGCUGAAGCUCCAACAGGCUCAGUGGCAAGAGAAGGUGUUCUGAAGAAUGUAACAGCUCUCACGGGCAUCACUUCAAAGAGACCCAACACUGACUGUGGAAAUUGUACACUACUUCAAGAGAAAUUACACAAAUGUCAUGAAGAACUGGGGGAAUUGCUUGAAGAACUUGGUCGUCUACCAGCAGAUUGUAAAAAGUGUAUCCUGUUUCAACAAAAAUUGGACUCGUAUUUAGAGAAGGUUAAGAGAUUACAAACAGAUCAUCAUUAAGGAACAGGACCUUGGCUGGCCUACACUCAAUGUAUUUUGUGGAUUUAAAAUGUAAUUAUAAUUAAUAAAAGAGUUUAUUAUUUCCCCUAUAUUGUCUCUUUGAACAGAAUAGGUUAACAUCAAAUUGGUUUUAGGUUAGAUUUCAUCCUUGAUGGAACACGUGGCAACAUCUUUUUGUAUUUUGUGAACUUAAUUGAGUCAGAAAAUGUGUUGAUGGUUUUGCACUACACAGCAAGUUAGAACGUGUUAGUGUUUUUGUAAACGAUUUUUCCUAAAACAGAACAUUUCAGAAGGUUUUUAAUAGUAUUUCUGUUUAUUGAUACGUUUAUAUGCAUGGAUACAAUUGCCCUGUAUAAACUGUA
Ictalurus punctatus (channel catfish) is the source of this 882-nucleotide long non-coding RNA. NCBI's taxonomy places the organism in Eukaryota, Metazoa, Chordata, Actinopteri, Siluriformes, Ictaluridae. The record is from Ensembl.